RNAcentral lists this ribosomal RNA (525 nucleotides) under Triticum aestivum (bread wheat). RNAcentral's name for it is "partial small subunit ribosomal RNA". The record is from RNAcentral. Lineage: Eukaryota; Viridiplantae; Streptophyta; Magnoliopsida; Poales; Poaceae.
AUGAUAGAUGUUGCAAUUAAUUCCCUGACCACCAGAUUUGAUGAGCUUCAGUCAUUUGGGAGUAUAUUUGGCUUCUUAUUCAACUCUAAAAAAUUGAAAUCCUUGGAUGAUAAUGACCUGAGAAGAUGUUGCACUAAUUUUGCAAAGACCUUUUCUCAUGACAACUCAGCAGAUGUUGACUUGGAUGAUUUAGUUUCUGAACUGAAAGUGUUGCAAAUGACAUUGCCAAAUACACUCAUGCCAGCAGAUCAGAUAUUUGAGUUUGUUAGAGCUGCAGAUUGCUAUCCAAAUGUGUCAAUUGCUUACCGAAUUCUCUAAACUGUGCCUGUGACGGUAGCUUCAGCCGAACGAAGUUUUUCAAAAUUGAAGUUGUUGAUAAAUUAUUUGAGGUCAUCUAUGUCGCAAGAAAGAUUGAAUGGAUUGGCAAUAUGUUGUAUUGAGAAGGAUCUGUUGGAUAACAUUGAUCUUGAUACCGUCAUUAAUGAUUUUGCAUCAAAAAAUGCACGAAGGAGCCGUUUCUCAUGA